This is a small nuclear RNA of Cavia aperea (Brazilian guinea pig), 104 nucleotides long. The record is from Ensembl. Lineage: Eukaryota; Metazoa; Chordata; Mammalia; Rodentia; Caviidae.
GUGCUCACUUGGCCAGCACAUAUACUAAAACUGGAAUGAUACAAAGACUAGCACGACCUCUGCACAAGGAUGACACACAAAUUUGUGAAGCGUUUCAUGUUUUU